Gallus gallus (chicken) is the source of this 1244-nucleotide long non-coding RNA. RefSeq lists it as uncharacterized. The transcript has 3 exons. Lineage: Eukaryota; Metazoa; Chordata; Aves; Galliformes; Phasianidae. The record is from RefSeq and is a predicted model, not a curated record.
AUACCAUUGUCAAUGUCAACGAAGGCAAUCUCCUGGCCCAACACUUUGAUGUAAGCAGACAGCAGAGGAUCUUCGGGAGGCAAUUCUUUCCACCCCAGAAGCUGCAGUGUUAAGGAGAGAUGAAGGAGAAAGGGAAGAAACAGUUUCUUAACAUACAUCAUUGUAUUAACAAAGAGUAGAUGACAUCUGACGCAUACUGAGGUUCCUUAGCCAGAAAAUGGUAGACAUUUUACAGGCAUGAACUGAUGUGGCCUUUCUCAUGUUGCUUCACUGACUUCAGUGGGUGUUUCCCUACAUAAGAAUGAGGUAAGGCCUUGGUAAUUUUUGCUACUUAAGUACUGGGUGACACCCAAGGGCUCAUAAACAAAAGUCUUAUUCACUAAUCAUUUUGAGAGAGAAGAGCAACCACUUAUAGUGUUUUAACAUACAAUUUAAACCACACAAAUUUUGUCUAACAUUAUUGUCAUCAUCUUUUGUACUGUACAUUAAGGGCAGCUUUGCACAGUGUGCUUCAUACGUUGAGUGAAAAGAUGGCUUCUGUUCUUAGUGUAAGUACAGUCUAAGAACAUCUCUCUGUGACCAAACAGGAUGGCUGACUGAGACAUCAAAGGGGUGGCUAGGUGGGUAGCUGAUGCAACCCUGGUGCUGGUGGGAACUGUCUAUUGCAAACAAAUCAGGAGGGUGGAUAAAGGCAUACCUUUUUACCAAGUUCCUUCAGUGUCUUGUGACUGCUGGCUAUGACUGCAGAUGCUGAGGGCGUGCUGAGCUAGCUCUGAAUUAGUCAGCAGGGAUAAUUUUAGGGCAGCUCAAAGAUCAACGCAAGCUGCAAAAUUUACCCAAGAAGAUUGUAGAGCUGUGGGAUCCUGCCUACUGCCAAAGCCUUCAUGUGCGAAUACAUGAAACUGGUCACUUGUAAGCUGGUCUCCGUCAGCAGCGAGCUGGCCAUGGCUACCACGAUAGGAAGAGAAGGCUUUGUUUCAAAGAGGACAAUGCAAGCCGUCAUGCGUACAUUAGGAGCAAGUGUGCUGUCCAUAAAAAUUUGGAGAGCGAUCCCCCUUACCUAGAGGAGGAAGAUACAGCCUGUGAAUACCUCACAAUUCCUCAGGAAAAAGUGUGUCCUAAACUGUGCGUGUCUGAUCUGCAGUGAAUGGUGAACAAAACCCUAAACAAAACACUGAGCAUGAAGCCCAUCACUGAAAAUGAAGAUAUUGCUACGUGCACAAUAAACAGAGAUGGAAGAACAA